ACUGGGCUGGCUCAGUAGGUAGAGCACAUGACUCUUGAUCUUGGGGUUGUGAGUUCCAGCCCCAUGCUAGGUG
Molecule: transfer RNA, 73 nt
Filed under: Mustela putorius furo (domestic ferret)
Lineage: Eukaryota; Metazoa; Chordata; Mammalia; Carnivora; Mustelidae
Rfam family: tRNA
About the family: Transfer RNA (tRNA) molecules are approximately 80 nucleotides in length.
Source: Rfam by way of RNAcentral